UUGAAUGAGUAGAGCAUCUCUCACAAGGGACAGAAACCGACCUAAAAAUCCCAACGCAACAUAGAGGAUCAAUAAUACGUGUUAUCCACUACUAUAUAUCCUCCCAAACAAAACCUGUGGAACUAAACCCUUUUCCCUUUUUUUGCCUUACCAGGUGUCAAACUAGACUUACCUUAAUAUCUCUCCAGAAUCUUGGGCUGCCCAAUUGAUCAUCACCUCUUUGGGUUCUCCACUUUUCUACCCAAUCAAGACUCAAGAGACCCCUUAUGCUUGAAUUGACCACAACAAC
This 289-nucleotide long non-coding RNA is filed under the name Glycine max (soybean). RNAcentral's name for it is "long non-coding RNA (GMAX_LNC000330)". The record is from RNAcentral. Lineage: Eukaryota; Viridiplantae; Streptophyta; Magnoliopsida; Fabales; Fabaceae.